RNAcentral lists this long non-coding RNA (1117 nucleotides) under Sinocyclocheilus grahami. RNAcentral describes it as "lncRNA (ENSSGRG00000053934.1)". Lineage: Eukaryota; Metazoa; Chordata; Actinopteri; Cypriniformes; Cyprinidae. The record is from RNAcentral.
CAACAGUUGGGGUUUUACUGUUUAUACUGAAAAGCAGCAGUGGUAUUUCUGCUGUAAAGGGAAUGAUUCUCAGCAGGACUGGGUCACCUCCAUUAUCAGAGUGAAGCAUGCCAGUGACUUAUGGCCUAAAGACCUAAAGCAGAGUGCAUCGUUACCUUAUAACCUGAGCAGAGGAAGAACAUCCACUUACAGCACUGCAAAGACCAGCACAGCCAAACAUCAGAGAGAGGCUAAAAGGAAGUCAGUCCUCACUACAAGUAUAGAAGGUUCAAAUACACGAAACCCAAUGACCACAGAUGUGAGCAACCAACCGGACUUGAUGCAUAAAUUGGCAAGCAGUGAAGGAACUCCGAGUGUCUCCGGGCUUAAAAUGGUGAUUGAUGACACACUCCAGUCUCUGCGUAGACCAUCACUUCAACAAGACCCCAGCGCUCUCACCCAGCUAUCACACAAGAAGGCUGUGUUGCCCAACAGAGGUGUGCAGUUGCCAAAAAACCUCAUUAAUGAACUAAGUACUGUUCUCAACAAAACAGGACGCUUUCCGAAAGAAGACAAUUAAGAGAGACAUACAGAGACAGAAAGACGAGACACUUGUCUGUUGCUCUUCCAUUGUGCAUGACCAAGACCAAAUCACCCCACAAAAGCUCAGUUGGUUCUCAGUAAGGAAGUUGGAUGUACUACUCAGGACAUGGAGAGUAAGUAUAGUAAAUGUUUAAACUGAGGUAAACUGGUGGGUCAAACAUUGGAUGUAAAGACUUUUUUUGCGCACAACUACAGCUGUUUGCCAUAGGUUGCAUUGAGCCUUUAUCCUUCAAUUUAGAACCAUAUAAUUCAGUAUUAUUGAACAUUAAUGAUUGUUUUAGGCUUUUGCAUGAUAAUAUGCAUUUCCCUCUUCAUUCUCAUAUCUGUUUUUAUUCUCAAUGAGGUUGAAAGACACUACUAGACAACAAUGUUCCAGUAUCAUCUUAAAUCUUCAUAUUUUGAAACUGGUUGUUCUGAGAUAAGUGGAAUGGUAAUAUUAGCAUUAGUUAAAGUUGGCAUGAAAUAUAAUUUUACCCUAUUUUCUAAAUUCUUAAUAUUAAUCAUAUUGUGAACGAUUCGUCCAUGCAGGCUUUUU